RNAcentral lists this transfer RNA (75 nucleotides) under Streptomyces daqingensis. Its description in RNAcentral is "tRNA-Gly". It matches the Rfam family "tRNA". From Rfam's summary of the family: Transfer RNA (tRNA) molecules are approximately 80 nucleotides in length. The record is from RNAcentral. Lineage: Bacteria; Bacillati; Actinomycetota; Actinomycetes; Kitasatosporales; Streptomycetaceae.
GCGGACGUAGCUCAGCUGGUAGAGCGCAACCUUGCCAAGGUUGAGGUCGCGAGUUCGAACCUCGUCGUCCGCUCC